This 279-nucleotide ribosomal RNA is filed under the name Triticum aestivum (bread wheat). RNAcentral describes it as "partial small subunit ribosomal RNA". Lineage: Eukaryota; Viridiplantae; Streptophyta; Magnoliopsida; Poales; Poaceae. The record is from RNAcentral.
AUGCAAGAGGUGUGGUGGCUUGGGUCACUUACUGAAAACCUACAAAAAGCCAUUGAUCCAGCAUUGGUGAAGAAGAUGCACACUGGGGAGCUGACAAUGCGGAAGAAGACCCUCCUAACCAAAAUGCAGACCUACAUGAUGAACAACAAGAAGAAGAGGAACCAUACAGUGAAGAUGAAGCUCCAGUGCAGCCUGCAGGUGCAGAUGAUGCUCCAGUGUAGCCUGCAGGUGCAGAUGAUGCUCCAGUGCAGCCUACAGGUGCAAAUGAUGCUCAAGUAG